This 542-nucleotide ribosomal RNA is filed under the name uncultured bacterium. Its description in RNAcentral is "bacterial SSU rRNA". It matches the Rfam family "Bacterial small subunit ribosomal RNA", at positions 28 to 582 of the family's 1533-position model. The record is from RNAcentral.
GACGAACGCUGGCGGCGUGCUUAACACAUGCAAGUCAAGGGGCCCAGCAAUGGGCAACCGGCGAACGGGUGCGUAACACGUGAGCAACCUGCCGAUCUGUGGGGGAUAGCCGGCCCAACGGCCGGGUAAUACCGCAUACGCUCUUCUCGGGACAUCCCGAGCUGAUGAAACCUUUUGGGCAGAUCGAGGGGCUCGCGGCCUAUCAGCUAGUUGGUGGGGUAACGGCUCACCAAGGCGACGACGGGUAGCUGGUCUGAGAGGAUGGCCAGCCACAUUGGGACUGAGAAACGGCCCAGACUCCUACGGGAGGCAGCAGUGGGGAAUAUUGCGCAAUGGCCUGACGGCUGACGCAGCGACGCCGCGUGUGGGAUGACGCCUUCGGGGUGUAAACCACUGUUGCUCGAGACGAACCACGGACAUUCGUCCGUCUGACGGUAUCGAGUGAGGAAGCACCGGCUAACUCCGUGCCAGCAGCCGCGGUAAUACGGAGGGUGCGAGCGUUGUCCGGAAUCACUGGGCGUAAAGGGCGCGUAGGUGGUUCG